Molecule: long non-coding RNA, 6725 nt
Filed under: Sus scrofa (pig)
Lineage: Eukaryota; Metazoa; Chordata; Mammalia; Artiodactyla; Suidae
Description: lncRNA (ENSSSCG00015044376.1)
Source: RNAcentral
CUGUAAUUGAUAACUGCCAGCGUCCCCUUACCAAUCCCUUGGGAUGCUCUGCUUCCAGUUCCCAACCGGCAGCUGCCCCUGCCCACGCCUCCAGCCAGGGCACACCUGAGACCUUCCCUUUCUCCCCUGCAGAGCUUUCCUGCUCCUCUGCCCGCCCGUGAGUCUCUGCCCAGGACAAGCGUUGGCGCCGAGUCCCUCACCACGCAGCAAGCUCUGAAUAGAUGGUCUUUGCCUGUUCUCAUUUGGGUGGUCUUCCCUUAUUUCCACAUCUGGCCCCUCCUAGGACCUCAUCAAAGCCACCUCACUGGGGACUUGGGAAGGGGGAAAGCAGACUUGGACCUUGAGAUGUCUGUAUUUCUCAGUGUUGGGGGCCUGAUGCUUCAUCAAAGGUGAUGCCGGCAACAUCUGGCAAUUUAUCUGACACCUUCCCAGUGCAGCAGAGGAGCAUGAUUGAGUAGGAGGAGGGCCGUCUGCUGUGACAGAGUGAGAAACAGCUGUUUAAAGGUGUGUAUGUGUGUGUUCAUAUGUUUAGCUCCUUUACAGGAACAGCUAUCAUAAUGGCCAGCAGUAUAACCUUAGAGUUUGGAGCUGUGCAAGUGGCCCACACAGUGUGUUCUCUUCCCCAAAGAAUACGUACAGAGUAGGUACACCUCUGUCUGGAGCUGGUUCUGAAUCCUGGCUUUAUCACUCUCUGGCUGUGUGAUCUUGGACAAGUGCCUCCCCCCUCUCCCUAACCCCAAAGUCUCAAAGCCCUCCUGUGUUCAGCUCAUGGGCUUUUCCAUGGUGCAGUCCUGGUCUAAGUGUUGUCUACACACCACCUGCCUCUGAAACCCCUGGGGUAUUUGUUAAGCAUACAGAUUUCUGGGCCCCACCAAAGACCUAAUGAAUCAGAAUCUCUGGCCAUGGUCUGGGCAUCUACAAGACUAGCCAGCUCUGUGAGUAACUUUCCUGCUCACUGAAGUGUGGGAACGUCAAGGUGACUGCAUCUUAGGUACUUGCAUGGUCACAGUGAGGAUCAAACCUGAUGACCCUCCUGACGGAGGGCUCGUAGGCAGAUCUAUCCAAGGCAAAGCACAUGGCAGUAAACGCAGAAAUGGAGGAACGAAGAGCUGUGGGGAAAGGGAUGAAUUCCAACCUGGGGAAUCUUAGAAGGCUGCCUGAAGGAAGUGGCUUCCAGUGUAGGCCUUAGGGAUGAAGUAGACUUUCAUCCUGCAGAUGUGGAGUCCUCUCUGGGGAGCUGGUGGUGGGAAAGAGGAGAACCUUCUCCCUCCACAGGAGAGAGGCAUCAACUCAGCAGUGCCAGGAGGUCACUUAUUACAGCAGCAGAGGCCUAUUCGAAAGCCUGAUUAGAUGCCACCUGCCGUUGGGGUAGACCAUACUGUCCCUGUUUCAUGCAUAGGGGACUGCAGGGCCAGGGAAGACCAGAGACAUGCCCAAGAAUGUGCAGCUAGGAAGGAGCUCACUGGAGGUCUGACCAUGGAGUUACAGAAUCUGCGGAAAGAGGGGGUUUCUGUGGAGCAUUUGAGGAAAAGGAGCUCCUGUGGGCUGGCUUUUUGGAGAGGGUUGUGUGCUGAUUUGUUGCUAUAGGAAACCUGGCCCCAAGGCGGGAGCAGGCUGGUUUAUGGUUAACUGAUCCCCAGCUCUGAGCAGAGCAGGAGACCUGGGUUGUAGCGUUUGAUGAUGGCUGUAGUGUAAUCACUCCCACCACAGUGCAUUUCAAGCUAUUGACAUGAAGUGACUGAUUAAAGUUGGGAAGAGAUGUGCCCAGUGGGCUCUGGAGUGGGCAGUAGUGGCUCCUGCCCCCUGUGGUUGAGGGUGUGAAUGAAGGAGAAUCACGGAUGAAGUGAUGCUGUGGGCUGACUGUGGCCUCUGGCUGGUUCAGAAUGCCGCUCGGUUUCCUUGAUGGACUGUGCCAUCCUUAUGGCUUCUCAGCGUGACUUUGUUGAAGCAUUUGCAGCUGAGGAACCCUGGGUGUGAGGGAGGCAGGGAGCUGAGCACUGCUCUUUGCUCUCAGAAGGGAAUCCAUCCAAGCCCUCUUACAAAAUUGGCUUUUGAAAAACAACUGGUCUCAACCUGGUGGAUGGGGCUCUGUGGGCAUGUGGAGGAGCCAGAGAAUGAGAGCAUAGCUGGGAGUCGAGGUGCUAGGAAAUCGCUGAGAAAUGAAGGGGACCUCCCACCCAAGCGGGGCUUCAAGGCAGGGAGGCAAAUUAGAGGGAAGGAGAGAAAUUUACUUUCAACAAACCUAUGCAGAACCAUGGCAACCAGAUAAUUAAGAAGUUAGUAUAAUUUCAGCUUGCAUAUAAAUUUUGUGCUUUAUGAUUUUUAUUUGGAGUUAUAUAUAGGGAAGAGGCAUAGCAGACGACAGAUGUCUUUUCUUCCCAGGGCACAAAAGAGAUGUACCCAGUCCAGCCACUGCCUCCUGACCCACACCUGCCUCAUCCAACUACCUGAACCCCACAUUUGCAGUGGGAGAUGGAAGAGGUGCUCUUACUCCCCCUUGGAGAGGAAGCCAAGCUGACCCUCUCUGAGGACAUCCUCAGUGACAAAGGGGGCCAAGUUGAGGCAGAAUUCACCUCAUGUGGGCCAUACCUAACAUGUAUGCAGAAAGCACCGCACCAACAGAUGCCACCAGCACUCAGCAGAGCCAGAAGGAGCCAGAGAGACCCGAGACCUCGCCAUGUAGUGGGACACCUUCCCUGGUCCUUGAAUCUCUUAGGUCACCAAGACCCAAGGAUCCAGGAAAAGGCAUUUGGUACUGUAAUCAUCCUCUGGUGGUAUCUUAGGACCCUCAGGGAUGGCAUGAUGCCUGGCACAUGGCAUGCACUCAGGCAUGUGUAUAAGAAGGUGGGUACUUCUUGUGACACACUCGUAGAGGACGGAUGGAACCCAAGAAGCAGGAAGAGAGGCUAGGAGAAUGUGGCAGUAAGUACUAAAGAGCAAGGGGUAAUGAUGAGGAUGGGGGCACUUCCCCUCUAUGCUCUUCCUCCCAGAAACCCAUCCCCUUCCUAAGCAUGAGAAAAAGCAUCAGACAGACCCAAACGGAGGCACUGCACAAAAUACCUCACCAGCAGUCCUCCAACGUGUCAGGAACAUGAAAAACAAGGAAAGGGCGAGGAGCUGUCACAGAUCAGGGGCACCUAAGGAGAAGUGACAGCUGAAGGUAAUGUGCAUCCUAGAGGGGAUUCUGGGACAGAAAAAGGACUUGAGGGAAAAUCAAGGACAUCUGAAUGAAGUGUGAAGUUUAGUGCAUCAUUGUGGACCAAGGUAGGUUUCUUAGUUUUGGCAAAUGCACCACAGUAACGUGGGAUAUUAACCCAGGGGACCCUGGGUGAGGGGUAUAUGGGAAAUCUCGCUGCUGUCUUUAACCAGUUCUUAGAUGAUUAGAAAGGGGGUGAGGCAAGGAGGCACUGCUUCCAGGUGGGGCACGCAGGAACAGCUUGGUGUUGUCUGAGCAGUUGAAGGGUGUGCAGGGUUUGGGUGGGGUAAGCUUUACAGGGGGCAGAGCAGCAGAGACCAGGGAAACCCAGGGGGCUUGGUGGUCACCGGGUGUGGGUGCUGCCCGUCUUACAAGCAAAUGUGGACAAACAACACAGUGAUUUCAGCUAGUAUUCCUUGUUUUGACUUAAGGAUUCUCUAAAUCAGGAGGUGAUUAGGCAGCCCCAGGCUGAUGAGAGCACACACAGUUUUCUUCUGCAAGCAGAGUGGUCCGUGGUGACUGUGGUGACCAGGAACUCUGCCAUGGAAGGUCUCAGAAGGGCUCGGGUAGGGCAGGAGAGGUGCAGUGCCUCCCUCUUCCUGCUCUGAUGAAAAACAAGUAUGUUACGUGCACACCAAAACCUGCACCCAGUGUUUAUAGCAGCUUUAAUCAUAACUGCUAAAACUUAGAAGCAACCAAGAUGUCCUUCAGGAGGUGAAUGGAUAACUAAUAGAUGAAUAAACUUUGGUACAUCCAGACAAUGGAGUAUUAUUCAGCACUUACAAAGGAAUGAGCUACCAAGCUAUAAAAUAUGUGGAGGAAGCCUAAGUGCAUAUGCUAAGUGAAAGAAGCCCAUUUGAAAAGGCUACACACCAUAGGCAAUUUUACAUACCGCAGGGUUCCAACUAUUUCACAUUUUGGAAGAGCAAAACUAUGGAGAUAAUAAUAAGACCAGUGGUUUCCAGGAGUUGGUAGGGGUGUGGGGGCUGGUAGGAUGAAUGGGUGGAGCACAGAGGAAGUACUCUGUGUGAUGCCACAAUGGUGGAUACAUGUCAUGAGACCUUUGUCCAGACUCGAAUAAUGUACAUCACCAGGAGUGAGCCCUCAUGUAAACUGUGGACCUUUGGUGGCUGUGAUGAGUCAACACAGGUUCAUCGGUUGGAACAAAUGGACACUUUGGUGGGGGAGGUUGAUAAAGGGGGAGGCAGUGCAUGGGCAGGGAGUAGAUGGGAAAUUGCUGUAUCUUCCCCUCAAUUUAGCUAUGAUCCUAAAACUCCUCUUCAAAGAAUACCCUUUUUAAAAAAUGAAACAUAGCCACAAAAAAAAAGCAAGAUGAAACAAGUUUGUUAGGAGUGGAGUUGGGGUCCACACAAGCCACUCAGCUCCCUUUGCAGGUCCCCAGCCCUGGUCUGUCUGGGAGGCUUAGCCUGAACUAGUCCUUCCGAGGCCCAGGUGGGUAUGGUCAUAAGGGGCCCGGGAGCACAGCAGACAGAAUUUUGGAUUUUACAAGGAGUGAUUUGUGGAGGAGGAAUUAUUGGAGCUGGAGUUCUGUUGACUUCACCAUGUAGCCGAAGUCCCAUCCUGGCCUCUCCAUAUGUUCACAAGUCCUUCCUACAUGGGAUCAUUUUGUUAAAUACACUUCCACACAGGCACUGCUCCCAGUUCAUCAUGUUCCCGCCACUCGGCUUGUCACUGGGCCUGGACACUUGUCCCAGCCUGGACACUGAGGUCGGAGUUCAUGUGGUGUGACCAUCACAGGGGAAGGAGUCAUGGGGCUGACAUGCUGAUGGGCUCCCAGGCAGGCAGUUCUCCUUGCACAAAAUCGGAAAGAUAAGGUCACAAAGGCCCCUCCCUGCCUUAGAAACCCCAAUAUAACCUUACCAUGGCUGCUCUGGAAAAGGCAGAGGGACAGAGUCAGAAAUUCUCAUUCUGUUCAUUGCGUCUUGAUUCCCAAAGAAUUGACUUGGAGGUACCAAUGAGCUCCAUCCUCCAGGGAAGUCUGCCUUUAGAAAGAAACCAGGCAGCUGCUAAGGAGCUGAUGCUGCUUUGAAGGGCAGACAAUGGCUGUCCUCCAAAGCCCGGUCUGGACUGUUCCUAAUGCAUAUGGUAGCUGCUGGGAUGGGACCCUAAUUGGAAGAGAAUCCUGUGACCUCCAGACCAAUUAAAUCAUGUCUCAGGAGCUGGAACAGCUGUAUGAGGCUUUGGGGAACAGGUGAAUUCUUUCCUCCCAUCAGAAGUCACCUUAGCUAUCGUAGGAGGUAUUGACUGUUGGUGCUGUACUGGUUGAGAAAAUUGGUCUCAGGAGAAGCAAGAAAAGUGACUUGAGCAAACCUGCCUUUUUCAACAGAGGCUCUAAUAAGGCGGAGCUGAUUUGGGGGGGUUGGGAAUUAUUGCCUCCAACAAUUAGGAAAGUUGCUUGGCCAGAAAUAGGAGAAAGUAUGGGAGACAGGCUCCUUUGAGAGGACAGAGAGCUGGGAGGAUUAGGAUUUGAACCUCUACCCCCAAUCAGGCCACUGGCACUACAUUCCAAAGCAUCUCUCAAGACUCUUCUGUGGUGAUGGAACUAUUCCAUGUCUUGAUUGUGGUUGAUGGUUACACAAUCAUGUGCCUCUGUCAAAACUGUCAUAAAACCAUAAACUGCAAAGGCUCAAUUCUACUAUGUGUAAAUUAUCCCUAAAUUCAAAUAUACACUGAAUACACACACACAAGGACCCUUAGGCCAGCUCUCCUCACCCAGACCUGGGGAGAGCUCUGGUGCUUGGUUGAUAGUUCCAUGUCCUGUCUACAACUCCUGAGAGUCCUUGUGUAAUGUUUUUUAAGGGGGAGAAAUGCCAGCACAGGAGGUCUCUGAGACAGGGAUUUGCCACUGCCCCCCCACCCCCAGCAUCUCCUAGGAGCACUGACAGCCCCAAGCCAUACCCAACCAAUGAAGGCAGAAUCCCUGGGGCUGGGACCCAUCCUCAGGAUUUUUAAUCCUCGCCACCACCACCCCAUGAUAGCUCUGUGGGAAUGGACUGGGACCACUAAUGGCCCUGAAGUCAUGAGGAGUGGCUCAUGUCUCCCAUUCUUCACUGUUACAUUUUUGGAAACAGUGUCCAAAGCCUACAUCUGAGGCUCUGGGCUCUCCCACCCCGACGCCUUCCCCACAGGUGCUGGACACCCUGGGAUUUCCAUCUUGCUGCUCUGUCAGUAGGCUCCUUCCUCUCCCACUCAAGGAUCAAUUUGGAACUUCAGGGUUCCCACUGCUUCCUGCCACCCGCCACUCUUCCGUCUCUCCCUGGGAAUGUGCAUACGUGUCAUGUCCCAGAGAAAGAACAUGAACUCGGGCAGUUCCCAUUGCGGUAUAGCAGAAACAAAUCUGACUAGUAUCCAUGGGGAGGCAGGCUCGAUUCCUAGUCUUGUUUAGAGGGUGGAGGGAUCCUGUGUUGCUGUGGCUGUGCUUUAGGCCAGCCACUGCAGCUCCGAUUUGACCCCUAGCCUGGGAACCUCCAUAUGCCGCAGGUGAAGCCCUCAAAAAAAAAAAAAAAAA